AUCCGGCUGACGAUUCCCAAAUAAGACGAAACGCGCGUCGAACUGGAU
Molecule: non-coding RNA, 48 nt
Organism: Schistosoma mansoni
Lineage: Eukaryota; Metazoa; Platyhelminthes; Trematoda; Strigeidida; Schistosomatidae
Source: Rfam